RNAcentral lists this ribosomal RNA (254 nucleotides) under uncultured bacterium. RNAcentral describes it as "partial 16S ribosomal RNA". It matches the Rfam family "Bacterial small subunit ribosomal RNA", at positions 524 to 776 of the family's 1533-position model. The record is from RNAcentral.
UACAGAGGGUGCGAGCGUUGUCCGGAAUCACUGGGCGUAAAGGGCGCGUAGGUGGUGGCUUAAGCGUGCGGUGAAAGCUCGGGGCUCAACCCCGAGUCGGCCGUGCGAACUGGGCUCACUGGAGCAUAGUAGAGGCAGGUGGAAUUCCGGGUGUAGCGGUGGAAUGCGUAGAGAUCCGGAAGAACACCGGUGGCGAAGGCGGCCUGCUGGGCUAUGGCUGACACUGGGGCGCGACAGCGUGGGGAGCAAACAGG